UACAACAAAGGUGCAUGCUGGUGGAGAAGCUCUAUGGAUCUAAGUAGCAGCAAUGGAAGUGACAAAGAAUAACAAGGAGUAGGCAACAGGGCCAGUUACAGAGAAACAAGAUCCUGGCACUGACACUUGAAUCCUUAGUGCAGUGUCUGCUACUAGAGGCAAGUGUGAUCAGGAAGGAGAAUGGCAGACAGUACUUCUGCUUGAUGGUGCAAUUGAGCACCGUUCUGGACCUUACUAUUGGAUGGCAUUCAUAUUUCUGUAGAAAUACAUAGAAGGAGGAGGAAGCCGAGAGGACGGAGCAGACAUCAUAUUGCUUCAUAUGGACACAGCCAAAGAAAUUAGUCCAGUCUGUCAAAAUGACCUCUUGGGCUUUUCCCUAGCACCAGAAACUACAAGUCUUGGAGUCUUUCCAGAGGCAGCAAUGCAGCACUGCAAUCAGCAUGGGUCAUUCUUUACUUCACUUUUACCUGUUGUCAAAAAUCCAGCUUUACAUGACUCAAAUUUGCACUUAGACAUCAUAGGCAUUUCAAAGAGUGGCGAGAAGAUCCCACAGAUAACCUUAUACUGAUACCAGCCUGGCCCCAUCCAGGAGAUGUAAACCACACAUAAGUGAAGGAAGAGAAACAUCAAGCAUUUUUUUUUGAGAUAUGAG
RNAcentral lists this long non-coding RNA (652 nucleotides) under Cricetulus griseus (Chinese hamster). RNAcentral's name for it is "lncRNA (ENSCGRG00015043307.1)". Lineage: Eukaryota; Metazoa; Chordata; Mammalia; Rodentia; Cricetidae. The record is from RNAcentral.